ACAAGUUUCAUAUUGUCCCAAACUUGACUGAGCUGGACUCCAGGCAUUUUUUCCAUAAUUAUAUACUCAGCUCCUACUGAGUUCGUAGCACGAGAAUCCCAAGAAUACACUAUCGGGGUGGGUGUUCCAAUAGCUACUUCGCUCGCUGUGGUAAGGUGAGAGAUGCCAGCAUUCGGGUUGGGUACCUUGGCAAUGACCUCUUGCCCAUUAUCCAUCGCUAGAACAAAACUCUUAUUAUACAUGCCAUCAGGGCACUUUUCAACGGCAACACAAACUUUUGCCCCUACCGACUCAGCAGCAAUACGGGCGAGCUCAUUCAUGUUAAACCUGAUGUGACGGCUAGCAAUCUGGUCUGCUUCGUCUAGUACGAAACGACCACGGGUAAACGAGAAUAAAUCGUCGGGGGCAUUCCAAUCUAGAAAGGAUAAAUGAUUAGCUGGGAAUGAAAGGUGGAAAUUAAAAAAGUUAGAAACUGCAAUCAGACCUGUAUCCGUUGGGACCAUUGCUGCUGUUGAUGCUUCCCUAUAAUAGGUUUGGUGACAGGUGGAAACGAAGGCUGAAGGGGUCAUCGACAGGAGAGCUCGUGUAAACUGACAAGCUCUUUGCAAGUUUGGGAGCUUUGACAACAAUGCCAUUAUAUAUAUGAUAACGAGCGCUAUUUGACGCCUCAAGGAUUGUUAAGGGAAGUACAGGAACGGGUAGGCAAUAGAUAUUUUAUGGCUCGGGGCCUAUUAGACCAUAAUCUCUUCGAAGAGGCUAAAGAAGGGCUUACAAGAGUAAAGAAGGAAAUAAUUAGUUAGAACACAUGCGAAAAAUAGUGAGGAAAUGAAGGCCUGGAAUAAUAUAUGGCCGUAUGAUGAUUAAAUAUACAAAUUUCUAGAUUGUUCCAUCGACACUUUGACCCCAAUGACCUCACAUAAUCUAACACGACACUUGUUCUCCUAUGGCAAGCCUAGAAAGACUUUGGAAAGCAAAAACAAGAUCAACUAUAAGUGAUCGGAAAGCUGCUAGAAUUAGAUCACAUUCUUUCAACAUAGAAAACUUUGAUUUUCUCUGAACCAUGGCUUGAGCCUCUCCUUCGGAGCCCAUUUAUACCCAAAACAGAGAUCAUUUAUCUGUCCACAGUCCCGCUCCAUCACGCUGCGCCACAUGCCGCUUUGUACGCGUUUGCAUGGCUGAGUACCGGU
This 1187-nucleotide small RNA is filed under the name Histoplasma capsulatum. RNAcentral describes it as "hypothetical RNA". The record is from RNAcentral. Lineage: Eukaryota; Fungi; Ascomycota; Eurotiomycetes; Onygenales; Ajellomycetaceae. RNAcentral also lists the same sequence under 1 other name.